This 253-nucleotide ribosomal RNA is filed under the name uncultured bacterium. RNAcentral describes it as "partial 16S ribosomal RNA". It matches the Rfam family "Bacterial small subunit ribosomal RNA", at positions 524 to 776 of the family's 1533-position model. The record is from RNAcentral.
UACGAAGGGGGCUAGCGUUGCUCGGAAUUACUGGGCGUAAAGCGCACGUAGGCGGCUCUUUAAGUCGGGGGCGAAAUCCUGGAGCUCAACUCCAGAACUGCCUUCGAUACUGUAGAGCUUGAGUUCGGGAGAGGUGAGUGGAACUGCGAGUGUAGAGGUGAAAUUCGUAGAUAUUCGCAAGAACACCAGUGGCGAAGGCGGCUCACUGGCCCGAUACUGACGCUGAGGUGCGAAAGCGUGGGGAGCAAACAGG